CGGAUCACGUGACCCGCAAGAUCGGACCAAGACGUGACAUAAUAUUACCGGCAAUCAGCCUCAGAGUCUUGGCUGGGUGCUUGUGUUGUGGAUACUCUAUCAAACUGAAGGCUCGAGAUGAUCCUGUGGCUGCUUGCUGUUUACGUCUCCCUGCUCCUCCUGUUGAGUCCAGCGAUCAUGAUCGUGGUCGCUUACUCGCCGCACCUCCCGGUCCUCAUCAUCAGAAAGUUCAACAACAUCCCCGUGGAGGCCAUCUAAAACAAGUGCUGUGAUUGGUCCAAGUCAUCGGAUAAGCCAAUCACAACACUUGACCUCGAUAUUUUGAUGGCGUGACACAGGCUCCUCGCGCCACCUGCAAGGAUCUGAGAUGCCUCGUUCGAGAUGUUGGCACCGUCUCGAGACAUAUGAGGUCCCGCUCUUGAAAGUUGAACGUAUCUCGGUUCUGGAAGACUCUGUAGCUCUGUCACCUGAUUAUUGACAUUGAUAGACAAAGCGAUGGACAUAGGAGGCAACUGGAAAAUGGCACGAGUCAUGAUUAUUGAAUUAGUUACGUAGCUCUAAAUUUUAAAGAAAAAAUAUUCGACUUCGUGCGAUAAAAUAUUUCAUAUUGUUUUAGAGCACAUAUAAGGCUCAGAUCAGUCCAUACUUUUCUUUUUGAUUUUAUGAAGAUUCUGAAUAAAAAAUGCAAAAGUUAAAUAAAGAAAGAGGACGUUAGGUGCUCCUUCAAGGACUUUCCAUUUACGAAUGUAGCGUUUGCUGCAAAGAGCGAACCGCUUGGGCUCCUACAAGAGGUUCACAUACACACAUGCAGUGAAUGUUGUAUCAGUCGUUUAUGAAGGGGCCCCACAUUCGAUUUUCAGUAAAGUAUAAUUUUUAAUUUUCUUUUAGGAGUAAUAAGAAAAUUUGGUUCAACAAGUUUAAGACUUUGGCCGGAUUCUUUACCCCUUAGAAUCUGAAAGUUUUUUGGGGUUUUUUGCAGUUUUUUAUGUAUAAAGGUCAAUAUUGGUCACGCCUGGUAACGGGAGAUGGAAGGAUGAAAUCACCACUUUGCAGUCAAUUCGAUCGAAACGUUUAGAUGUCCUAUAGCGAGGAUUUGCGAUCAGAAACGUUUUCUUCCCACGUAUGUUUCAUACUCUAGAAAAUGUUCCAAUAUUAACCAUUACUAGCCGGUCGGACUUCAUUUUGCACUAAAUCACCUUCAUUUCAUGUUCAUCCGUAGAAACACCUACCCACGUAGGUGAACUAAUGGUGUGCAAAAGUGCUUUAAAUGAGCGAGAGAGUGUUUCUUCGUAACAAAAUGUAUGGCCAGUUAGAACAUAUCCUUUUUUAUCUUCAACAAUUGAUUUUCUUUAUGCUUUGUACACGCCCGUCAGAAAUAAACUGUAACUUACCCUAAUUCUAAAAAAUCUCAUUAUUUUCAGCAGAUCGGUACAUUAUGAUGAUUUUCUAAAAUAUCCAUGUACAGAUACCAACAUUGUUACCUAUAAAGACAUGAAUACUUUUUAAGUGGCUGUAUUUAAACUGAAAGGAUCUAUGUUGCACGUCGCAAUAUUGUCAAGAAGGCCACAUGUUAAAGUGCCUGAGUCGAAGGAACCUUUGACCUCUCAACAGUCUCAACCCUAUAUUUCAGCUCCACGUCAUACAAGGGGAUGACCCAUAAAUUGAAGAGAAAAUGAUCGGUAGGUCAUUGUGUCAAUCGCCCGGAACAUUUCUCCCGAAUGAAACAGAAAGGAGAAAAAUCUCCAAAGUGUGACUUAAAACUAGUCCAGGGAGAUCGCAAGGUUAAAGCGCCAUAGUGAAGGAAGACCUUUUGACCCACUAUUCCGAUUGCGCUUCGUUCAUACCGUCGAACGACAUGUAACCGAAAAAGUUCGUCAAAAGGUCAAUGUCCCUUCAACUCUGGUACUUUAAUUGGUGCUUAUUGAGUUAAAUCGCACGCUAAAUGUUACCGUAAUGGCCUCUGUGAUACGAAAAUUUGACAACCUCAACCUCGGCUCAGCUGUUUUUUCUACAACUUACGCUUGACUCACGAAACUGUUAGAAAGCCUAUGCGCCAAAAGCGAUGUUGUACGCGAUUUGACUCACGUAUAGACUCUAUUUUUCUUGUGAGCGGGAAACUCAAUAUUUUGGUAAGGGUUGAUUGCUGCAAUCUUCAAUUUGCGUCGUUCGAAUUACGUUCUAGCAUAAAUCAUCAAUAAAUGAAUCAGAAAAUUGGCUUUCUUGAGUAACUUUUACAGCAUAGGUAAGAAGACAGUGCGGAGUCUCUAGAAUAUAUCGUCUCUGCUUGGACUCUCAAAAAAUUAUAUAGGCCCUUUCUAAAACACUUUGGCAUAAUUAUACUGCCGUGCUAAGCAAGAUCGCCGUGAGUCCAUUAAGAUUUUGCCGCACUUCUUGCAACUUAACACUUAAGAAAAUAAAAACUGUUUUACCUAUGCACCUCAAAUUUUCAGGUUCAGUUCUUGAUAGCAUUUGAGAAAACAUUCUGUAAAAACAUUCUCCCAAAAUACACAUGUUUUUUUGCUAUGAUACAUUGUUUCCAAAAACUUUAUAAUGGCGUUUACGGCGUUUUUGCGUUGCACGGCAGUAUAUACCGUUAGAAACCUACAGACAUCUAUACGUCGACGGCAAAUAGUUGAAUCAGGCAUUUUAUCAAAUGCCUAGGCCGGUAGUUAAAUUUUGACAGCUUACGGAAUUCUGUAAAUUUAUGGCAAGGAGUUCACGGGUUUUCAAUAUUUUGGGAAAAACAAUUCUUUAAAUUCGCCAACUUCGCAUGAAAAAUUCCUUACAUGCCUUUAGUACAUUUAUAUGUUCAUAUUUUAAAAAUUCAAUUUUUAAUGACAUGCUGAACAUUCCAUGAAUAAAGUGUGCAUUCAGGAUCUUAGAAUCGUUUGAAGUACAUAUACUAUUGAUGCUGCAUAUUUUUACAGAAAAUUCUUUCUGUCAGGAGCAACGAAUUAUUUUGUGUAAAAUUAGGAUAAGAGUCAAAAAUUCAAUAUAUAAGUAAGAAUAUUUGACCAUUUGCCUAGGUAUUUGAGCAAAUGCCUGAUUUGACUGUUUGCUUUCGACAUAUAUACGGUAUGGUGCCCGUGGAAACCGGGAGGACAUCCACGCUCUACGCCUUUCAAAUGGACCAGCUAGCGGAUAAAGUGCCUUUUCUUUAAUUUUGAAUAUUCAUAGAUCAUCGACGAAAACUCAUUUUAUCCGUGCGAAACUUAUUGAUCUCACAACCGCUUUGGAGUAAGUUGCGAUCUUGGAAACGGCGACUCUCUCACUUAUUCAUCAUGAUACCAUGAUCAAUUAAAGCAAAAAGACUUAAAAACCACAAUCUGAACCGAGAAUUUAGGGUCUCUUUUUUGAAAUAAGACUUACAGACAAAAAAAAAAAAUCUUAGAACACAAAAAAAUGUUCAUAGGGCAUUUUUCAAAACUUCAGUUCGCGAUUUAACACUUUUGGAACACGUAAGGAACAUUCUUGAUUAACAUACCUGAACAGGGCCACCUUUGAAAAGAGGAGAGCGCCUUCAACCGACUUCAUAAUCUUGAUGCAAAAUUCUGAUACAACUAUUCACGACAGUCGUUUUGCAUACCCGCCUAAUUGAAGGCAAAUCAUUGACCCGGGCAGCAAGGUACGAAUUUCAGCACUGUGAUACGUAAUUUUAAGGGAGCAAAACCUCCGGGGGUGCCUCACCUGGCAACCACAUAGCCCAGCCUCCGGGGGUGCUCCACCUGGCUCCAAAAGGGCCAACCCCCAGGGGCAUCCCCCCCUUGCCCUACCUACCCAACCUGGAACCCAGGAAGUCCAAUCCCCUGGGGCUCCACCCCUCGACUGCCAAGGAGCCAAGCCAACCGGGGGCUGCCCCCUUGACAUCCAAGCCGUCCAACCCCCGGGGGCUGCCCCCCUUGGCAUCCAUGGAGCCCAACCCCUCAGGGGUGCACCCCUCGGCUGCCAUGGAGCCCAACCCAACGGGGGCUGCCCCCAUCGGCAUCCAAGAAGCCCAAAACCAAGGGCCCGCACCCCUUGGCAGCAAGGAGCCCAACGCACCGGGGGCUGCCCCACCUGACAUCCAAGCAAUCCAACUGUCACAGGUAUUGAAAUACCAGUAACUUGUCCUUUUCUCAAACUUAUAAAUCUCUUAAACAUUUUCUUUAACUCACUUCAGAUGGCUGGAUUUCGUUCAGUUUCAGUCUUUUUCAACCCUAUCCUCCAGUCAUCUCCUUGAAUCACCACUUAUUUUAAUUACUAGACUUGCAACUGAUACCUACAUAGAUUAUAGCCAGCCAAUAGCGUGUAGACUUGUUGUCUCACCACCCGUGACGUCAGCAAGUCUAUAAAAGCUUGUGCUGCCCGAGAUUCUAGGUCUUUUUUCCAUCUUUGUGACCCGGACUCAUGUCCCUCGCUCUAAGGUCUUUUACCAUCCCCAUGACCCACGAAACGUAAACGUGUAACUCUCUCUCUGGUCUUUAACAUCCCUACGACCCACGACCCGUGUCUCUCUCUCUCUCAUCGGUUUUAUUCCAGCAGUAGUGCAACUCUUCACUUCAACUUUAACGCUGUGUAACUUAGUGACAUUUAAUUUGUGAAAUCUGUGAUAUGUGCCUUCAUCACGUCAAUACAAGCUAUUUCGUCU
Molecule: non-coding RNA, 4627 nt
Organism: Bemisia tabaci
Lineage: Eukaryota; Metazoa; Arthropoda; Insecta; Hemiptera; Aleyrodidae
Source: RefSeq, a predicted model, not a curated record